Molecule: ribosomal RNA, 1126 nt
Filed under: Staphylococcus epidermidis
Lineage: Bacteria; Bacillati; Bacillota; Bacilli; Caryophanales; Staphylococcaceae
Description: bacterial LSU rRNA
Rfam family: Bacterial large subunit ribosomal RNA
Source: RNAcentral
GUUAUUAAGGGCGCACGGUGGAUGCCUUGGCACUAGAAGCCGAUGAAGGACGUUACUAACGACGAUAUGCUUUGGGUAGCUGUAAGUAAGCGUUGAUCCAGAGAUUUCCGAAUGGGGGAACCCAGCAUGAGUUAUGUCAUGUUAUCGACAUGUGAAUUCAUAGCAUGUCAGAAGGCAGACCCGGAGAACUGAAACAUCUUAGUACCCGGAGGAAGAGAAAGAAAAAUCGAUUCCCUGAGUAGCGGCGAGCGAAACGGGAAGAGCCCAAACCAACAAGCUUGCUUGUUGGGGUUGUAGGACACUCUAUACGGAGUUACAAAAGAACAUGUUAGACGAAUCAUCUGGAAAGAUGAAUCAAAGAAGGUAAUAAUCCUGUAGUCGAAAACAUAUUCUCUCUUGAGUGGAUCCUGAGUACGACGGAGCACGUGAAAUUCCGUCGGAAUCUGGGAGGACCAUCUCCUAAGGCUAAAUACUCUCUAGUGACCGAUAGUGAACCAGUACCGUGAGGGAAAGGUGAAAAGUACCCCGGAAGGGGAGUGAAAGAGAACUUGAAACCGUGUGCUUACAAGUAGUCAGAGCCCGUUAAUGGGUGAUGGCGUGCCUUUUGUAGAAUGAACCGGCGAGUUACGAUCUGAUGCAAGGUUAAGCAGCAAAUGUGGAGCCGCAGCGAAAGCGAGUCUGAAUAGGGCGUUGAGUAUUUGGUCGUAGACCCGAAACCAGGUGAUCUACCCUUGGUCAGGUUGAAGUUCAGGUAACACUGAAUGGAGGACCGAACCGACUUACGUUGAAAAGUGAGCGGAUGAACUGAGGGUAGCGGAGAAAUUCCAAUCGAACUUGGAGAUAGCUGGUUCUCUCCGAAAUAGCUUUAGGGCUAGCCUCAAGUGAUGAUUAUUGGAGGUAGAGCACUGUUUGGACGAGGGGCCCCUCUCGGGUUACCGAAUUCAGACAAACUCCGAAUGCCAAUUAAUUUAACUUGGGAGUCAGAACAUGGGUGAUAAGGUCCGUGUUCGAAAGGGAAACAGCCCAGACCACCAGCUAAGGUCCCAAAAUAUAUGUUAAGUGGAAAAGGAUGUGGCGUUGCCCAGACAACUAGGAUGUUGGCUUAGAAGAAGCCAUCAUUUAAAGA